GGUGGCUCAGUGUUAGAGCACUUGCCUUGCAUGCAUGAGGCCCUGGGUUCGAUUCCCCAGCACCA
RNAcentral lists this transfer RNA (65 nucleotides) under Dipodomys ordii (Ord's kangaroo rat). It matches the Rfam family "tRNA". Rfam says of the family: Transfer RNA (tRNA) molecules are approximately 80 nucleotides in length. Their secondary structure includes four short double-helical elements and three loops (D, anti-codon, and T loops). Further hydrogen bonds mediate the characteristic L-shaped molecular structure. tRNAs have two regions of fundamental functional importance: the anti-codon, which is responsible for specific mRNA codon recognition, and the 3' end, to which the tRNAs corresponding amino acid is attached (by aminoacyl-tRNA synthetases). tRNAs cope with the degeneracy of the genetic code in two manners: having more than one tRNA (with a specific anti-codon) for a particular amino acid; and 'wobble' base-pairing, i.e. permitting non-standard base-pairing at the 3rd anti-codon position. The record is from Rfam by way of RNAcentral. Lineage: Eukaryota; Metazoa; Chordata; Mammalia; Rodentia; Heteromyidae.